Molecule: ribosomal RNA, 506 nt
Filed under: uncultured bacterium
Lineage: Bacteria
Description: bacterial SSU rRNA
Rfam family: Bacterial small subunit ribosomal RNA
Source: RNAcentral
AGAGUUUGAUCAUGGCUCAGGAUGAACGCUGGCGGCGUGCUUAACACAUGCAAGUCGAACGGAGUUUUAACGGAAGUUUCGGAUGGAAAUUUAGAAACUUAGUGGCGGACGGGUGAGUAACGCGUGGGUAACCUGCCUCAUACAGGGGGAUAACAGUUAGAAAUGACUGCUAACACCGCAUAACAUAGCGAAACCGCAUGAUUUUGCUAUCAAAUAUUUAUAGGUAUGAGAUGGGCCCGCGUCUGAUUAGCUAGUUGGUGGGGUAAAGCCUACCAAGGCGACGAUCAGUAGCCGGCUUGAGAGAGUGACCGGCCACAUUGGGACUGAGACACGGCCCAAACUCCUACGGGAGGCAGCAGUGGGGAAUAUUGGACAAUGGGGGAAACCCUGAUCCAGCGACGCCCGCGUGAGUGAAGAAGUAUUUCGGUAUGUAAAGCUCUAUCAGCAGGGAAGAUAAUGACAGUACCUGACUAAGAAGCCCCGGCUAACUACGUGCCAGCAGCAGC